GACAGAGGUGCCGAGCGUUAGGCGGAAUCACUGGGCUUAAAGCGUGUGUAGGCGGACUUCUAAGUACCUUGUGAAAUCCCACGGCUCAACCGUGGAACUGCUUGGUAUACUGGUUGUCUUGAGCCACUUAGGGGCAGUCGGAACAGACGGUGGAGCGGUGAAAUGCGUAGAUAUCAGAAGGAACAUCAGUGGCGAAGGCGGCUUCCUGGACCAAUACUGACGAUCAGGUGCGAAAGCGUGGGGAGCAAACAGG
This 253-nucleotide ribosomal RNA is filed under the name uncultured bacterium. RNAcentral describes it as "partial 16S ribosomal RNA". It matches the Rfam family "Bacterial small subunit ribosomal RNA", at positions 524 to 776 of the family's 1533-position model. The record is from RNAcentral.